Molecule: ribosomal RNA, 407 nt
Filed under: uncultured bacterium
Lineage: Bacteria
Description: partial 16S ribosomal RNA
Rfam family: Bacterial small subunit ribosomal RNA
Source: RNAcentral
AUUGAACGCUGGCGGCAGGCCUAACACAUGCAAGUCGCGCGGAGCGGCGAACGGGUGAGUAAUGCCUAGGCAUCUGCCUGGUAGUGGGGGAUACCUUCCGGACACGGGCGCUAAUACCGCAUCCUAUCAGAUGAGCCUAUGUCGGAUUAGCUCGUUGGUGGGGUAAAGGCCUACCAAGGCGACGAUCCGUAACGGGGCUGAGAGGAUGAUCAGUCACACUGGAAAUAGUACACGGGCCAGACUCCUACGGGAGGCAUAAGGGGGGAAUAUUGGACAAUGGGCGAAAGCCGGAUCCAGCCAUGCCGCGUGUGUGAAGAAGGUCUUCGGAUUGUAAAGCACUUUAAGUUGGGAGGCGUUAUCAACAGAAUAAGCAACGGCUAACUUCGUGCCAGCAGCCGCGGUAAUAC